GGCAUGUCUGAGCCAGAUGUCCACUUCUGGUCCAGGGUUAGAAUUAUGUAUCAAAUCAGCUGGAGCCAUCGCAUGAAUAUUUACACUUUAAAAUUCACAAAAGGACAUUCUCACAGGUUCGCUGGAGUUUAAUGAGUAGUUAAUAUAUCUGCACCAAAGUGACAGCAGCACCAUCUCACUUGCCACACAAGCUGGAGAGCAGUGGCAUGAUCAUAGAUUACUGCAAUCUAGACCUCCUGGCCUCAAGCUAUUCCUCCACUUCAGCCUCCCAAAGUGCUAGGAUUACAGGCAUGAGCCACCACACCUGGCCAAAUAUUUAGCUUUUUAAAAGAAAGGAGUUGGUCAUUAUUUGUAAAGAAAUCUGCCCAUUCCCUUAGUAAAAUCAGCCAGGUCAGUUACCGGUUCAGGGAUUAAAAUAAAUAAUUUGUAGUUGUGUUAUAAUAGACACUAUUUUCCAGGGUCGGCAAUGGUAAACAAUGCCCUUUAAGGGGAAAUGAUUAGAAAUAGAAACUUCGAGCACCCUGCCAUAGUGAAAUGUGGCCCUCUAUGGUAAAUUAAAGAUGGCCACAAAUAUUUUCCUAUGUUAUAUUGAGAGGUGAAGUCCAUUUCCCCUCUCCUUGAAUUUGUGCUGGCCUUAAUGAUUUGUCCAAUAGAAGGCACGAGGGAUAACAUUCUUAGACUUCUCAGGCUAGCUCAGAAGAAGUCUCAUAGCUUCCACUAGAUUUAUUAGAAUGUUGGUUCUCAGAUCAUUGAGAUGCCAUGUAAGAAGUUAGACUAUCCUAAGAAACUACAGGAAGACCCUGAGAUGACCUGAAGCAAGAGAGAGACAUAGCCAUCCAACAAGCCUCAGCUGUUUCAGGCCCUAAAGAUUUGAGUCAUCCUAGCUGAGGUUCCAAAUGUUGGGAUCAGUAGGAAUUUAUUUUGAAAAAGCUGUACACGACUUGCUUGUGUUAGAGAAUCAUUGUGGUCAAAGGUUAUAGGAGGCAAAGAAAUUCCCAUUCUAGAUGCAGAAGAGCCUGCAAGCUGAGCAAGAUAUAUGUAAAUGCAAGAUAUCAGAAACAGGUCUAGGAGUGGAUGGUGACCCCUUUCUACAUGUUAUUCAGCUACUGCAAUAUAUGUUAAUCAAGUUGAAUAAUAUAUGUCAUUCAAACCUACUAAACAUCAAGCUACAAUGAAUGACACUGUGAAUAUAUUUUCAUUGCUCCUCUAAUUAUGUCUUUGAUAUUGAUUUUGAUGAAUGGAACUAGAGAAGGCGUAAAAGUAUCUGUAUUGCUCUUGAGACAUACCCAGUGCCA
Molecule: long non-coding RNA, 1295 nt
Filed under: Homo sapiens (human)
Lineage: Eukaryota; Metazoa; Chordata; Mammalia; Primates; Hominidae
Description: HSALNT0270901
Source: RNAcentral